CCUACGGGUGGCUGCAGUGGGGAAUAUUGCACAAUGGGCGCAAGCCUGAUGCAGCGACGCCGCGUGAGCGAUGAAGGCCUUCGGGUCGUAAAGCUCUGUCCUAAGGGAAGAAUCAUGACGGUACCUUAGGAGGAAGCCCCGGCUAACUACGUGCCAGCAGCCGCGGUAAUACGUAGGGGGCGAGCGUUAUCCGGAAUCACUGGGCGUAAAGGGUGCGUAGGCGGCCAAUUAAGCCAGAGGUGAAAGGCUACGGCUCAACCGUAGUAAGCCUUUGGAACUGAAUGGCUUGAGUGCAGGAGAGGAGAGUGGAAUUCCUAGUGUAGCGGUGAAAUGCGUAGAUAUUAGGAGGAACACCAGUGGCGAAGGCGGCUCUCUGGACUGCAACUGACGCUGAGGCACGAAAGCGUGGGGAGCGAACAGGAUUAGAUACCCUAGUAGUC
RNAcentral lists this ribosomal RNA (440 nucleotides) under uncultured bacterium. RNAcentral's name for it is "bacterial SSU rRNA". It matches the Rfam family "Bacterial small subunit ribosomal RNA", at positions 338 to 795 of the family's 1533-position model. The record is from RNAcentral.